AGGACGAACGCUGGCGGCGUGCUUAACACAUGCAAGUCGAGCGGAAAGGCCCUUCGGGGUACUCGAGCGGCGAACGGGUGAGUAACACGUGAGUAAUCUGCCCCUAGCUCUGGGAUAGCUCCGGGAAACCGGGAUUAAUACCGGAUACGACCACUUUAGACAUCUGUUGUGGUGGAAAGAAUUUUGGCUAGGGAUGAGCUCGCGGCCUAUCAGCUUGUUGGUGGGGUAACGGCCUACCAAGGCGACGACGGGUAGCCGGCCUGAGAGGGCGACCGGCCACACUGGGACUGAGACACGGCCCAGACUCCUACGGGAGGCAGCAGUGGGGAAUAUUGCGCAAUGGGCGAAAGCCUGACGCAGCGACGCCGCGUGGGGGAUGAAGGCCUUCGGGUUGUAAACCCCUUUCAGCAGGGACGAAGCGAAAGUGACGGUACCUGCAGAAGAAGCGCCGGCUAACUACGUGCCAGCAGCCGC
This 474-nucleotide ribosomal RNA is filed under the name uncultured bacterium. RNAcentral describes it as "SSU rRNA". It matches the Rfam family "Bacterial small subunit ribosomal RNA", at positions 26 to 518 of the family's 1533-position model. The record is from RNAcentral.